GAAAUAAGUGAUUCAAAAUUAAGCUUCUAACUUAAAUUUUUAGUGGGGAAGUUCCAUUAUUAUUUCU
This 67-nucleotide transfer RNA is filed under the name Ochthebius hasegawai. RNAcentral describes it as "tRNA-Ser". The record is from RNAcentral. Lineage: Eukaryota; Metazoa; Arthropoda; Insecta; Coleoptera; Hydraenidae.